UUCGCCUUCCUUUUUUUUCCCUCCUCUCCGCUCUUCCCGAGUAGUUCUAGUUCGUUUUACUUUGAGUAAAUUAGAGUGUUACAAAGCAGGACAAAAAUCUUUUCAGCCGUUGAACAUCAUUAGCAGUGGAUAAUGGAAUAGGACGUUCGUUUCUUAUUUUGUUGGUUUCCGGAAACGAAGUAAUGAUCAAUAGGGAUAGUUGGGGCAUCAGUAUUUAAUUGUCAGAGGUGAAAUUCUUGGAUUUAUGAAAGACUAACUUCUGCGAAAGCAUUUGCCAAGGAUGUUUUCAUUGAUCAAGAACGAAAGUUAGGGGAUCGAAGACGAUCAGAUACCGUCGUAGUCUUAACCAUAAACUAUGCCGACCAAGGAUCGGGAGACGUUUCGACGUUUAGGACUCCCCCAGCACUUUACGAGAAAUCACAAGUUUUUGGGUUCCGGGGGGAGUAUGGUCGCAAGGCUGAAACUUAAAGGAAUUGACGGAAGGGC
Molecule: ribosomal RNA, 486 nt
Filed under: uncultured eukaryote
Lineage: Eukaryota
Description: bacterial SSU rRNA
Rfam family: Eukaryotic small subunit ribosomal RNA
Source: RNAcentral